CUGCCUCUGAUUCUGAUCAGCCAGCAAGUUCACAACAGUUUUGCCAGCUCCAGCUGAUUUCAUCUUGAUAUUGUUUGACAGAAGAUUCACCAAAAGGGAAAGCAGAAAGAACAUUUCCUCCUCUGCUCCUCACUGAACAGUAAGUCAUACCUGGCAGAGACAAACCUUUCAGGGGACCAUCAGUCCUGAUACAGAGCUAUUAAAUGUCUGAAAAUUCACCAU
Molecule: long non-coding RNA, 222 nt
Organism: Pogoniulus pusillus (Red-fronted tinkerbird)
Lineage: Eukaryota; Metazoa; Chordata; Aves; Piciformes; Lybiidae
Exons: 2
Source: RefSeq, a predicted model, not a curated record